RNAcentral lists this ribosomal RNA (374 nucleotides) under uncultured eukaryote. Its description in RNAcentral is "partial 18S ribosomal RNA". It matches the Rfam family "Eukaryotic small subunit ribosomal RNA", at positions 592 to 976 of the family's 1831-position model. The record is from RNAcentral.
CAAGAGCGUAUGUAAAAGUUGUUGCAGUUUAAAAGCUCGUAGUUGAACCUUGGGUUUGGUUGGCCGGUCCGCUUUUUUGCGAGUACUGGAUUCAACCGAGCCUUUCCUUCUGGCUAACCAGUCGUUUCGGCGGCUGGCGAACCAGGAUUUUUACUUUGAGAAAAUUAGAGUGUUCAAAGCAGGCAUUAGCUUGAAUAUAUUAGCAUGGAAUAAUAGAAUAGGACGUUAUGGUUCUAUUUUGUUGGUUUCUAGGACCAUCGUAAUGAUUAAUAGGGACGGUCGGGGGCAUCAGUAUUCAGUUGUCAGAGGUGAAAUUCUUGGAUUUACUGAAGACUAACUACUGCGAAAGCAUUUGCCAAGGACGUUUUCAUUAA